Molecule: non-coding RNA, 26 nt
Filed under: Homo sapiens (human)
Lineage: Eukaryota; Metazoa; Chordata; Mammalia; Primates; Hominidae
Source: RNAcentral
UAGCGAAUGACGAGGAGCACAUGGUC